Molecule: ribosomal RNA, 403 nt
Filed under: uncultured bacterium
Lineage: Bacteria
Description: bacterial SSU rRNA
Rfam family: Bacterial small subunit ribosomal RNA
Source: RNAcentral
UAGGGAAUAUUAGUAAUGGGCGAAAGCCUGAACUAGCAACGCCGCGUGUGCGAAGAAGGCCUUCGGGUCGUAAAGCACUUUUUGAGAGGAUGAGGAAGGACGGUACUCUCAGAAUAAGCCUCGGCUAACUACGUGCCAGCAGCCGCGGUAACACGUAGGAGGCAAACGUUAUCCGGAUUUACUGGGCGUAAAGCGCGUGUAGGUGGUUUGGUAAGUAGGGCGUGAAAGCUCCUGGCUCAACUGGGAGAGGACGUUCUAAACUGCCAAGCUUGAGGAUGGUAGAGGGAGGUGGAAUUCCGGGUGUAGCGGUGGAAUGCGCAGAUAUCCGGAGGAACACCAGUGGCGAAGGCGGCCUCCUGGACCACUCCUGGCACUCAGACGCGAAGGCUAGGGUAGCAAACGG